RNAcentral lists this long non-coding RNA (4755 nucleotides) under Triticum aestivum (bread wheat). RNAcentral's name for it is "long non-coding RNA (TAES_LNC017326)". The record is from RNAcentral. Lineage: Eukaryota; Viridiplantae; Streptophyta; Magnoliopsida; Poales; Poaceae.
CUUCUAUCACUGGACAAGCUCGUUGAUUGGAAGUUCUGGUACAAUGGUAAAGAAGACCAGAACUGUCAAUGUUAUUGGAAUGGAUAAUCAGAAUUGCUUGUGCAAGAUUUUACUUUGGUCUGGGAGCUAAAAUAUACCACUAAUAGCAUCAGAUUCACCUCGAUGCAAUACUGUGUUGCUGUGUAAUAGGUAGCUCAUUCUGGCAUGUUGUUGAAGGAUACUUUGACAAGAACCCUCCUGUGUAUCUUCAGUUCCAUCGCUGGUCUGCUCCUUUUCUCUGUUCAGAGAACACAGUCUGAACAUGUGGUGUUUGUUCUCUUCCUCCUAUGAAGUAUAGACAGAAUUACAAUUACAGUAAAAAGUAGGAAAUCCAAAGAGAUUCAUAUUCCAACUUGUCUAUUGGAUAGUUCAUAAAACAAAAUGCAGGAUUAUACAUUUUGGAGAGGUGGUGGCGAGCCAAAGUUCAAAAUGUUUUGAGAUAAAAAUUGAAGUCUGCUAUUUUAAUCAGAAUCCAAUCCAAGCCUACUUUAUUUGUUACAUAAAUAAAUUCCAUCGGGAGGACGAUGCUCCUUGCCAACAUAGCAGCCCCUGACACUGAAAUGAGGUGUGUGUCGACCUUCGCCAAUUGCAUCUCCAUUGUGUCUUCCAUCAAUUUCUCUGAUAAGCUGAAUAACAUGUGGGGUUUUCGUUACCUCAAAUAUUUCCUUCAGGUUUUUAUGCUAGGCCUCGCUCAGCGCAGCCCACUGAACAGGAGCAUUUGGACUUAAUGGGCCGAUGGUCCUAGCAGCAAUGACAACAAAAUCAGUUAAGUAAUUUUAGUUCCAUAGCACCAGAGCAUAGCUCCAAGAGAAUCCUUGGCAUAUAAAAGGGGAUUUUAUCAGUCAUGUCAUGCUCUAGUAAUUUACACAGCAGCACAAGACCAUUUCAAGAAACCGUUAAAUAUAAUGAAGAACAAGUAUUUGAUGCAAAGAUUGUUGAUAUGAUGUAGCUUAACAGCAGAGAAGAUUACAAACUAUAAUUUCCAGAAAAAGCAUAGAGUGGAGGUCAACCCUUAAUUUAAAGUGAAUGGACAAACCAUACAAUCUGAUUUACAUGUAGAUAUGAUUUUUAAAGUUUUGAACAGAAUACUUAAAAUGCUACUCCACAGUCAAAGUUCUAAAACGUUGACUAAACGCGUGUCUAAAACAUCAGCUAUUUGUGAUAUAUACGAGAUUACAAAAUGGGCCUCACAAAAGGAUAAAACCUGGAUCUAUGCUGGGCAUGUAAAGUGAUGACCGAUGAGUCAUAUGGAUUACUGAUCUUGCAUGACAGUCAGAUAACAUGUGUCAAAAAGUAUAUUUGAUGAUCAUCCAAGAUUAGACUUGUAGCACCACCUAACACAAUCAUACCAAAUGAUCAGUUAGAAAAGGGGAAAAACAGACACUUUACAAAAGCUAUCUAGGAAAGAAAUGGGAUGCAGCAAAUCAUGCCAUGAUACCUAUAAAUAUAAUACCAAAGAAGAUCCUCAUCCAUCAUCCUUUAACCAAAUAUAUAUAUCAAAUCAAACUAAUAACCAGACAUCAUGAAGACCUUGUUCAUCCUCGCUCUCCUCACCCUCGAGGGGACCAACGCUGUUGCGCAGUUGGACACUACCUGUAACCAGGGCUCCGAGCAAUGUCAGCAGCAGCAACAACCAUGGCAACAAUGGCAGCAGCAGAUGGACCCAUGUGUGCAAUUCCUGCGGCACCAAUGCAGCACAGUGACACUGCCAUUUGUGCAGUCGCGUAUGUGGCAACUUAGCAGUUGCCAUAUAAUGCGACACCAGUGCUGCCAGCAGCUAGCGCAGAUCCCAGAACAGUUCAGGUGCCAUGCUAUCCACAACGUGGCUCAAGCCAUCAUGCAGCCGCAGCCCCAACAGCAGUGGCAGGGCAUGUACCAGCCCCAGCAACAAGCUCCGCUUGAGAUCAUGAUGAUGUCGCUUCAGAUCUUGCCGUCGAUGUGCAGCGUGUACGUCCCGGCAUACUGCCAGGUGUAGCGGUGGAUGAGUCUGUGAAUCAGUAAGAGUGCCUGUACUAGUUGCAACUUGGAAAUAACAACCAACAUCUGUUUCUGGAUGAAUAAAGGAUUUUCCUGACUAACAUUGCAUGUCUUGCAUGAUAGAUGAAAUCUAAGACGCAUCUGACUGAACUGGACCAUCAUCAUACUCUGUGCCUCAAAAGUUUACAGCAUGGAGAGAGAGAGAGUACAUGAAGAAGAUGUUGGAAAUAUGAGCAAUUUACCAAAUGAUUUUAUUAGCAGAAAUACUAGAUAAAGCAUGACUAAUAUAGCAGAGAUAAAACAAGUCAUGCUAUCUGAUAGAGAGAAGGUAAAUAGCAUCUGCAUGUGUGAACUAGAAUCAAACAUAUCUAGAGCAGACACUAGAGCCAGAAACUGCAGGAGAACCUCAAACAGAAAGAGCAUGAAUAUGUAGGUACAGCAGCAGAAGCACUGGUCUUGGGGUCAGCAUCCUUGCCAGCCAUGUCGUCGAAGAGGUUGUCGACGUCGGGGAAGAAGUCAUCGUUGAGGAAGUGGUCGUCGGUGUCUGGAGCGUCCAUGAUCAACAGGUCAGUAGUCGCGUAAAGCGCUCCCCAAAAACCUUAUCACCCUUCUCCCGUACAGGACUGAAAGAGGUGCGGUUCCGGAGGCCUACUGUCCCAACUUGCAGUGCACGCCGCAAAGCGGGAUGUGGAAGAUCGUAGCAGCAGCUCAAAGAUUGGAACUCAGUGGCGAGAGGGAGAUUAUCCAGCAGUCGAAGGGAUGUGCCGUUCGCAUUCAGUCUCCACUAUAGUAAAAAUCUUUUCAGCUUCCAUGUGACUUUUCGUAUACCAGUUGUGCGUGGCAAAAAUUUAGACAUCGGCUCAUUCCCGCAACCCGCGGCUCGUCGUGCCGAGGCGGGCGGCGAAGGAGUACGCGUGAAUGUCCCUCUUGUUCUCAUGCUCAUACAUGUGGGGAAACAACCUCCCUUGUAAGGAGGUCCAACUCCGACCAAACUAGCAAUGUGGGACUAAACUUUGGUUCCACCUCUUGCAUUGCACGAAUGGGCUGUGUGGGCCUUUAGGAUUUAUUAGGAAUUUCUGGAAUUGUAUUGGACUGGCCCAAAAUAUGGAUAAAAUUCCAGCAGAAGAGAGACCAGAUCAAGGGAUAUACAUACAUGAACGAGCUUUAUACAAAAAAUUAACGGAUUUGAUAACAGCAUUGGCAUACCCAGACUUCUUGUUCAGUACAAAUGAUAAACCUCAACCAAAAUGCUACAAAUCAAUUAAAUGUUACUCAGUACAAACUAAUUGAUUGAGAAACGGAAGAGACAGGUAAGGGUGGGUGAGCGCGAAAAAUGCCAACGAAGGCCGAGCUCUAGUGAGCUCAUUUUCAAAUUUUAUUUUUCCGGAGCGCAAAAAAAUCCAAAUUUUAUCUAGUGAGCUCAACGAAGACGACCGCUUGCCAGACGCCGGGACGCCGACUCCACCGCCUGCUCUUUCUGCAAGGCCUGUGCUCUCCCCCCUCCACUCUCUCCCAAACCCUAGAUAGCUCCAAUCUUUUUUAUUUGUUCAUUUGUCGCUUAUAUUUGUUCAUGUAGCAACAGCGCGCUCUGUGUUUGUUGGCAGGAUUAGAUUCAUGCAAGUGCAAGAUAUCUGGGAUGGAUGUCAUGUCAGGGUGACAGGGUCUACUUUAUUUUUCUUAGCAGAAAAAUAGAUUGUUUUGUGUACAACGUGCCCCGCGAAACAAUGUAAAGCAGCACGCAUAAAUAUUUUGGUGCACUGAGCGUUCUCGUAUCUAUGGGACAUUGUUGUCGCUAGAGUUUCCGGCCAGGACCUUUUCACUCUUCAGUCUCGUGUUCUGAAGAUGUUAUGUAGCUUAUCCAUUAGACCUAUUUGAAGAGGGUUCCGUUACUAACAUGUUUACUUUCAUUGUAGGUAACGUAUUUGGUUUCAAAGCCCUACGUGCUCUACGUUUGGAGGAUCUACGAAUUCCCCCUACUUAUUCAAAAACUUUCCAAGGCCUGCCUCAUGGUAUCCAAGUUGAAAGAGAUAAGUUGAACAAGUAUGGUCGUCCUUUAUUGGGAUGUACUAUUAAACCAAAAUUGGGAUUAUCCGCAAAAAAUUAUGGUAGAGCGUGUUAUGAGUGUCUACGUGGUGGACUUGAUUUUACCAAAGAUGAUGAAAACGUAAACUCACAACCAUUUAUGCGCUGGAGAGACCGUUUUGUCUUUUGUGCCGAAGCUACUUAUAAAUCACAGGCCGAAACCGGUGAAAUCAAGGGGCAUUACUUGAAUGCGACUGCGGGUACAUGUGAAGAAAUGAUUAAGAGAGCUGUAUUUGCAAGAGAAUUAGGGGUUCCUAUUGUAAUGCAUGACUACUUAACCGGGGGAUUCACCGCAAAUACUACUUUGGCUCAUUAUUGCCGCGACAAUGGCCUACUUCUUCACAUUCACCGUGCAAUGCAUGCAGUUAUUGAUAGACAGAAAAAUCAUGGUAUGCAUUUCCGUGUAUUAGCUAAAGCAUUGCGUAUGUCUGGGGGAGAUCAUAUCCACUCCGAUACAGUAGUAGGUAAGUUAGAAGGGGAACGCGAAAUGACUUUAGGUUUUGUUGAUUUAUUGCGCGAUGAUUUUAUUGAAAAAGAUCGUGCUCGUGGUAUCUUUUUCACUCAGGACUGGGUAUCCAUGCCAGGUGUUAUACCGGUAGCUUCAGGUGGUAUUCAUGUUUGGCAUAUGCCAGCUCUGACCGAAAUCUUUGGGGAUUA